Molecule: ribosomal RNA, 619 nt
Filed under: Scedosporium boydii
Lineage: Eukaryota; Fungi; Ascomycota; Sordariomycetes; Microascales; Microascaceae
Description: eukaryotic LSU rRNA
Rfam family: 5.8S ribosomal RNA (bases 202-355)
Source: RNAcentral
UUCCGUAAGGGGGACCUGCGGAGGGAUCAUUACAGAGUUACUACUCCAAAACCCAUUGUGAACCUUACCUAUGUUCUGUUGCCUCGGCGGCGUGGUCAGCGCCCCCUCUGAAAAGAGGACGAUGCCCUCCCGCCGGCAGCACCAAACUCUUGAAUUUUACAGCGGAUUACAGUUCUGAUUUGAAAAGAAAAAACAAGUUAAAACUUUCAACAACGGAUCUCUUGGUUCUGGCAUCGAUGAAGAACGCAGCGAAAUGCGAUAAGUAAUGUGAAUUGCAGAAUUCAGUGAAUCAUCGAAUCUUUGAACGCACAUUGCGCCCGGCAGUAAUCUGCCGGGCAUGCCUGUCCGAGCGUCAUUUCAACCCUCGAACCUCCGUUUCCUCAGGGAAGCUCAGGGUCGGUGUUGGGGCGCUACGGCGAGUCUUCGCGACCCUCCGUAGGCCCUGAAAUACAGUGGCGGUCCCGCCGCGGUUGCCUUCUGCGUAGUAAGUCUCUUUUGCAAGCUCGCAUUGGGUCCCGGCGGAGGCCUGCCGUCAAACCACCUAUAACUCCAGAUGGUUUGACCUCGGAUCAGGUAGGGUUACCCGCUGAACUUAAGCAUAUCAAAGCCGGGAAGGAAA